UAAUGGGAUUUAUUGGGUUUAAAGGGAGCGUAGAUGGAUGUUUAAGUCAGUUGUGAAAGUUUGCGGCUCAACCGUAAAAUUGCAGUUGAUGACUGGAUGUCUUGAGUGCAGUUGAGGCAGGCGGAAUUCGUGGUGUAGCGGUGAAAUGCUUAGAUAUCACGAAGAACUCCGAUUGCGAAGGCAGCCUGCUAAGCAGCAACUGACAUUGAGGCUCGAAAGUGUGGGUA
RNAcentral lists this ribosomal RNA (227 nucleotides) under uncultured bacterium. Its description in RNAcentral is "partial 16S ribosomal RNA". It matches the Rfam family "Bacterial small subunit ribosomal RNA", at positions 547 to 767 of the family's 1533-position model. The record is from RNAcentral.